UGGGGAAUAUUGCACAAUGGGCGAAAGCCUGAUGCAGCGACGCCGCGUGAGGGAUGGAGGCCUUCGGGUUGUAAACCUCUUUCGCUCAUGGUCAAGCCGCAACUGUGGUUGUGGUGAGGGUAGUGGGUAAAGAAGCACCGGCUAACUACGUGCCAGCAGCCGCGGUAAUACGUAGGGUGCGAGCGUUGUCCGGAAUUAUUGGGCGUAAAGGGCUUGUAGGCGGUUUGUCGCGUCUGCCGUGAAAUCCUCUGGCUUAACUGGGGGCGUGCGGUGGGUACGGGCAGGCUUGAGUGCGGUAGGGGAGACUGGAACUCCUGGUGUAGCGGUGGAAUGCGCAGAUAUCAGGAAGAACACCGGUGGCGAAGGCGGGUCUCUGGGCCGUUACUGACGCUGAGGAGCGAAAGCGUGGGGAGCGAACAGGAUUAGAUACCCUGGUAGUCCACGCUGUAAACGUUGGGCACUAGGUGUGGGGGCCACCCGUGGUUUCUGCGCCGUAGCUAACGCUUUAAGUGCCCCGCCUGGGAGUACGGCCGCAG
RNAcentral lists this ribosomal RNA (536 nucleotides) under uncultured bacterium. RNAcentral describes it as "bacterial SSU rRNA". It matches the Rfam family "Bacterial small subunit ribosomal RNA", at positions 355 to 891 of the family's 1533-position model. The record is from RNAcentral.